AUGGAUAAUUAUUAAUUGGCUUACCUAGCGGGUUGGGUUGGGUGCCAUAACGACUAGUGGAUUUCGGGUCAUGAUAGAUCGGUAUCAGAGCUCUAGGUUCAUAGGUUCUACAUAUCAUGAGCAAGUGUCUAGUAGAGUCUUGCAGAUUGGUAUGAUGACGUCCACACUUAUCUUCGAGAGACUAUAGGGCAUUUAGGAUAUACUUCUCAUCUUUCUUUCCUUAUCGUGUGACAUUGAUUCAGCUUGAAGCGUAAUUAUUUGAAUUCCUUCCACGCAUUCGUAUGUGCACAUGAGCACUCGGUAUCAGUUGUGCAUCGAUGGAUUGUGAUUCCAUGGAUGAGGUGCGAGAUGUGAUUUCUAUGUGUUGAUGAUGGGCCAAUCUGGAGGACUUGAGGCUAGGUUUUGACGGUAGCUUGAGCACAGAGGUGUUGAUUGUGUGAGCACGUGCUUUUGGAUUUAUAUGUCCGGUAGUGUCCUUAUUGGUGGAAUUUGUGGUAGGAUGGCUGUGUAAUGAGUAUGAUGUGAUUGGGGGAAGUGUUCGGAUGGUUUGAAUGUGACGAAAGGAGUUUGAUUGAGAUGUAAAUUGGUGCUUGAUUUCUGUCUUGAUUUGACGUAUAAUCUCGAGUUAUGGGUGUGUUGAAGGACCCUUCAUGUCGUUUAAUUGUGGAGUGAAGUAGAUUUUUCAUGUCUUGUUGAUGAGUUCAGAAUCAGGAAGACUAAGUAUUUGCGUGGUAGUUGUGACUGUGGAUGGGUAUAGAAAGAUGUUAGUUUGAGGCUAAGCAAGUGGGUUAUCUUUUGCGGGGUGUCCUGAGGUUGUGUGACCCCUAUGUUGUUGUAUUGAGAGUUCUCUUUUACCAGUGGAUUAUAUGUGCUACGAUUUUGAGUUUGCAUUACUUAUAAGAGUUGGCUUGACUAUUACAAGGGUGAAUGUGAGAUUUGCAGAUGAUUUGAGAUGCUAGAUAGCUUGUGCUACAUGAGCUUAUAGAAGAUUUAGUUGAAUUUCAGUGAGGGAUUUUGGCAGCAACAAAGUAUGGGUAUUGUAAGUUAUCAAAUGCUUUAAUUCCUAGCUUUGAGCCAAGUGGGGGAGUCUGCUAUCGACGGGUUGAUUGUGCGAUUAUGUGCUAUAUUGGUUUCGAUUUGAGAUAUACUGGUGAAUUAGUUAUGACCUAUCGAAGUUGAGAUUGAGGAUGACUCGAGUAAGGGAGUUUCUGGAUACGAGUUGCAUUAUACUCUAUGGGUAUAUGGAAAUCAUGGAAUGAUUGAGUGGCUAUUCGUGAAGGAUGCAGUGUUCAUGGAGUAGAAAUUUGCUUGGUUGCUUAGAGGUGUGAAUUACUUCUUAGGGUAUUAGGGUGCAAAAGGAGCACAAGCCGCUCGGUUCAUUUGGGUGGUGCUAUUGAGAUUCGAGUAGAGUGGGUGACUCUCGAGAAUGGUUCUAAUGAACUCAAGAUUUAUAUGUGGCAAUUGAGAAUGUUGCGGAUUUGUAUAUGGCUAGAAGUCGAGAGUUACAUUGGAUAGUGUCGAGACUUGCAGUAUUUCUAUAUGAUUAUGGAUUCUACAUUCAGUAUCAGGAAGGUAAAAAUGAACAACCUUAAAUUGACAGAAGGUCUCGUCAUAGUGGGUAUCUCAGUUGUGGUACUUUUAGGGUGCUUAAGAGAGCAUUCAGCAGCUUAUGAGCCUUAGGGCGGUGUGGUUUGAUCCUAGGGUCUCGUGUGGUGAGUCUUGGGUUGAGGAUUGUGGUAUUUUGGAGAAGAGAAGUAUCAAUUUGAAGGUAAUUCAGAAGGAACUCGGAGAAAUAGGACAACUUGGUAGUAGGUUAGAUCAGCAUGGUAAUGGAUAUGAUCAGUUCUUUGGCUGCAUGUGAUGUGGUGGAUUUCUACAGGUGUUUCGUGGCAAUACUCUUAGGUUUUUGGUGACCUGCGUAGCUGGGUUGAGUUAGAGGGAUUCAGUCCUGACGGUUUGGUUUUGUGUAAAUGAGAUUCGAAGAGUUCUUGAUGGUUUCUACCUCGGUUAGAGAUAUAUAUUUCCUACUGGCAUAAGGAGCAUGUGAUGUAUAGUGAUUUUCUCCGAAUGAAAUCAAAUGGAAAGAUCUUGGCUAAUUGAGUAUGUAGUUGCUUGUGACUCGGAGUGGAUUAUGAAGUCCUCGUAUUUUUCACAGGAUGGCAUGGUAUAUGCGAUAUGUUGUGUAGGAUCGAGAUUGAUAUGUGCAAGGUCACAGUUCAAUUUUGAAAGGAAGGUUAUGAGUCCUUAAGCAGCAUGGACAGUUUCAGAUGACUAUGUAAAUAAUAUUACUAUUUAGUAUGGCUUGAUGAGAGUAUACAUUUCAGAAGGGGCAAUAUGCCUUGAUUUACGGAUACUUCAUUGGUAUUACAGCACUUCCCUGGUUGAUCUAUUGUUGAUAUUCAAAUUUUACUAUGUGGCACGGAAGAAUUAUAGAAGUAUUCCUCAUAGGAAAAUCGUGUAGGAGAGAUGUGUUAGGUAUUCGGGUGAUGGAGUUGGAAUCAGAUAUGAUGAUUCGUGUGUUCUAUGGAUUUGAAGACUAGGAGUUUUCAAGAGUAGGUUGUUUCGUAGUUGUGAACUGUGAAAAUGCAGCCAAGGUUUGUCAGAGGAUAGUAUGUGUUAUGAUUCAGUCGUUGUGGACUUUCGGAGGGUUAUUUCUCUGUUUGUGGGUGACAAGAGUUGAUUUGGGGGUCCAUUAGUAGGCCAAAUUUGGAUGUGUAUUCGGUACCGAGCAGGAUUGGUUGGCUCCAUAUUGCUAUUGUUGAGGGAUAUGCCAUUUGGUUGGAGUUGAUUUUAUUCGUAUCAGACAUAUUCUGCGUUACUCUUUCAUGCUGUGAGGGGUUGUGAUUCGUUGGUUAUAUGCACACAUGGAAUGGUUCCAUUUGGGCUUUAUAGCGGAAUUUGAGCGAGAUGAGUAUUUGGGUGUCGCAUGAUUGGUCGCACAUUGGUUAUGUUCCUUCAGGCUUGUGGGGCAUUGCGUCAUUUUGCUUCUUCGUGGUUAUGGUAAUUCACUUUGGGAACUUGAUGUCAAAUCGCGCAUGAUUAUUGAUUUUGAGCAGGGUGGCUCGAGGUAUAUAAUAUGGACCAGCGUUUGGAUGGGCCUGCGCAUUGUAGCAGAGUUAUAUUGUGGUAUUAUCCUUUGUGAUAGAUUUGUGUGUUUUGGUUUUGUGGUGUGUGAUGGGUU
Molecule: long non-coding RNA, 3181 nt
Filed under: Nicotiana tabacum (common tobacco)
Lineage: Eukaryota; Viridiplantae; Streptophyta; Magnoliopsida; Solanales; Solanaceae
Description: long non-coding RNA (NTAB_LNC005036)
Source: RNAcentral